RNAcentral lists this ribosomal RNA (475 nucleotides) under uncultured organism. Its description in RNAcentral is "partial 16S ribosomal RNA". It matches the Rfam family "Bacterial small subunit ribosomal RNA", at positions 332 to 798 of the family's 1533-position model. The record is from RNAcentral.
UACACUCCUACGGGAGGCAGCAGUGGGGAAUUUUGGACAAUGGGCGAAAGCCUGAUCCAGCCAUGCCGCGUGCAGGAUGAAGGCCUUCGGGUUGUAAACUGCUUUUGUACGGAACGAAACGGCCUUUUCUAAUAAAGAGGGCUAAUGACGGUACCGUAAGAAUAAGCACCGGCUAACUACGUGCCAGCAGCCGCGGUAAUACGUAGGGUGCAAGCGUUAAUCGGAAUUACUGGGCGUAAAGCGUGCGCAGGCGGUUAUGUAAGACAGUUGUGAAAUCCCCGGGCUCAACCUGGGAACUGCAUCUGUGACUGCAUAGCUAGAGUACGGUAGAGGGGGAUGGAAUUCCGCGUGUAGCAGUGAAAUGCGUAGAUAUGCGGAGGAACACCGAUGGCGAAGGCAAUCCCCUGGACCUGUACUGACGCUCAUGCACGAAAGCGUGGGGAGCAAACAGGAUUAGAAACCCCAGUAGUCCCAU